GCUUUCAGUCGGAUGUUUGCAGCU
RNAcentral lists this microRNA (24 nucleotides) under Eptesicus fuscus (big brown bat). Its description in RNAcentral is "efu-miR-30a". Its record names the gene efu-miR-30a. Lineage: Eukaryota; Metazoa; Chordata; Mammalia; Chiroptera; Vespertilionidae. The record is from miRBase by way of RNAcentral.